CUCUUUCCGGCAACUGCCGAAGCGGAUAAGCUGGACGACGACGGCUCCUUCGGCUCAUUUCGGAGGCGGCCAUUACUAACGGAGUUGAUGACUUUUUAUUACGUGAUAAAUAACACGUAGGGGCGUUAUACAGAUCUGCUGCCCCUUCGGAGGCAUUUAAGCUUCCGAUUCGAGCCUUAUUUUAUUUUUUUUUAACGAAAACCUGGGAAGCGAGCCUAGGGUGGAAGAGGAGGGCGCUAGCGCUACGUGGAGCUGAAUUUCAAAUUACGUAACAGUUGAAGCAGCCAUUACCGAGCGGUUGUACGGUACUCUCGAGCAGGAAUACCUUAACCAUGAAGAAUAUGAGGGAAAAGGAGCAGUUCCGCAAACUGUUUAUUGGCGGCUUAAGCUUUGAAACCACAGAGGAAAGCUUGAGGAGUUACUAUGAGCAAUGGGGAAAGCUGACAGACUGUGUGGUAAUGAGGGAUCCUGCAAGCAAAAGAUCAAGGGGGUUUGGUUUUGUAACAUUCUCCUCCAUGGCUGAAGUAGAUGCGGCCAUGGCUGCAAGACCUCACACAAUUGAUGGAAGGGUGGUUGAGCCUAAGAGAGCUGUGGCUAGGGAGGAAUCUGGAAAACCUGGUGCUCAUGUUACUGUGAAAAAACUGUUUGUUGGUGGUAUUAAAGAGGACACUGAAGAGCACCACCUUCGUGACUACUUUGAGGAAUAUGGAAAAAUUGACACUAUUGAAAUCAUUACUGACAGACAGUCUGGUAAAAAGAGAGGGUUUGGAUUUGUUACAUUUGAUGACCAUGAUCCUGUGGAUAAAAUUGUGUUGCAGAAGUAUCACACCAUCAAUGGCCAUAAUGCAGAAGUAAGGAAAGCGCUCUCUAGACAGGAAAUGCAGGAAGUUCAGAAUUCUAGGAGUGGGAGAGGAGGGAACUUCGGUUUUGGUGAUGCACGUGGAGGUGGUGGCAACUUUGGUCCAGGACCUGGCAGCAAUUUCAGAGGGGGAGCUGGUAAGACAGACGGAUAUGGAAGUGGCCGUGGAUUUGGUGAUGGGUAUAACGGAUAUGGUGGAGGACCUGGAGGUGGCAACUUCGGUGGCAGUCCUGGUUAUGGAGGAGGAAGAGGUGGAUAUGGUGGAGGAGGACCUGGAUAUGGCAACCAGGGUGGGGGCUAUGGAGGUGGUUAUGACAACUAUGGAGGAGGCAAUUACGGUAGUGGAAACUAUAAUGAUUUUGGAAACUACAACCAACAACCUUCAAAUUACGGUCCAAUGAAAAGUGGAAAUUUUGGUGGCAGCAGGAACAUGGGGGGACCAUAUGGUGGAGGAAACUAUGGUCCUGGGGGCAGUGGAGGAAGUGGUGGCUAUGGAGGGAGGAGCCGUUAUUGAGUUUCUGCAAGCAUGCCAUGGGCUUCACUGUAUAAAUAGGAGAGGAUGAGAGCCCAGAGGUAACAGAACAGCUUCAGGUUAUCGAAAUAACAAUGUUAAGGAAACACUUAUCUCAGUCAUGCAUAAAUAUGCAGUGAUAUGGCAGAAGACACCAGAGCAGAUGCAGAGAGCCAUUUUGUGAAUGGAUUUGGAUUAUUUAAUAACAUUACCUUACUGUGGAGGAAGGAUUGUAAAAAUGCCUUUGAGACAGUUUCUUAGCUUUUUAAUUGUUGUUUCUUUCUAGUGGUCUUUGUAAGUGUAGAAGCAUUCCUUUGAUAAUGUUAAAUUUGUAAGUUUCAGGUGACAUGUGAAACCUUUUUUAAGAUUUUUCUCAAAGUUUUGAAAAGCUAUUAGCCAGGAUCAUGGUGUAAUAAGACAUAACGUUUUCCUUUUAAAAAUUUAAGUGCGUGUGUAGAGUUAAGAAGCUGUUGUACAUUUAUGAUUUAAUAAAAUAAUUCUAAAGGAAAUAUUGUGUAAUUUUAGAUUUUUUUUUUAAUAUUGUAAAAUAAGGCAAGGAGUGGGUAGUAUAAGGUCCCACAAAUAAUAUAAAGCUAUUGUUGUACAUGUAAAAUUAAAUGCUGGUCAGAAAAAAGUAUGUUGUUUGUAAAUGAUCAGGUUUAAAAUAUCUAGAUAACUUAAGGGAUAUCUCUGCAAGGAGAAACACCUUUUUAGAUCUUUUAGAUGCUGCUUCUUCAAUGGCAAGGAAAGGAAAUAUCCCCAGCGAGGUACUCUUCCAGGGACACAGGUCUAGUACAAGAGAACUCUUGAAAACGUCACUAAGUUCAGCCAGUCUUAAAAAGCUGCGCUGUAUUUCUGCAAAGCUUUAACUACAGUAGUUUAUAAGGAUGCCAACGAAGGCUGAGGGUGUAGAGCAAAAUAGUUCUAAGCUUCAGUUAAACUUCUUUAGCUAUGAUAUGAACCCUGGACAAGCAUAGACUGCUGCCACUGUACACUGCUACAGUUGAACAAAUGAGACCUGCAAGUGUCCAUUAGUAAAGCUUUGCAAGGGUUCCAUCUCUGGUGUUGGUAGUUAAAAUGGAAGGUGCCAUGCUGCAGGUAACUAAUGAAGAAGUGGUCAACCACAGAAACGCUUCAAGAAAUAAGAAAUUCUGUAUCAUCAGAAAAUAGUUGUUUUUGCUGCCUUCAUUAAAAAUCUAGAGGUUAAAUGAAUACUGAUAAAACAUCACAAUUAGUACAGCUCCCUGUAAUGCUGGGUUUUUUUAAAUUAUAGUAAUAAUGUCUUGUAAACCUUUCGAAUAAAACUCAGAUUCGUUAGGACAAACAAAUCACUAAUGUUAAAAUAGCAAACAUUCUGUGAGUAGAAAGUUUAACUACAUAUUUUUAUAACUUUCAUAGCUUUAAAAUAAAGUAUUUUUUAUACCAAA
Molecule: RNA transcript, 2797 nt
Organism: Calidris pugnax (ruff)
Lineage: Eukaryota; Metazoa; Chordata; Aves; Charadriiformes; Scolopacidae
Gene: HNRNPA2B1
Gene name: heterogeneous nuclear ribonucleoprotein A2/B1
Exons: 13
Source: RefSeq, a predicted model, not a curated record